RNAcentral lists this transfer RNA (77 nucleotides) under Verrucomicrobia bacterium A1. RNAcentral describes it as "tRNA-Arg". It matches the Rfam family "tRNA". From Rfam's summary of the family: Transfer RNA (tRNA) molecules are approximately 80 nucleotides in length. Their secondary structure includes four short double-helical elements and three loops (D, anti-codon, and T loops). Lineage: Bacteria; Pseudomonadati; Verrucomicrobiota. RNAcentral also lists the same sequence under 2 other names. The record is from RNAcentral.
GUCCCGGUAGCUCAGUUGGACAGAGCGCUGGAUUCCUAAUCCGGAGGUCGCGGGUUCAAGUCCCGCCCGGGAUACCA